UCUCCUUUGGCUCCUUGCCGUGUGGGACUGAGCAACUGCUAGAUCCUUGGACUUCCAUUCUACAGCUGCUACUGACCGUUGUUGGGAGUUGGACUGCAGGCUUGACCGGAGGCCCAUCACAGCAGAAGAGAACAGAGCACUUUAACCUAUAAAGACAAAGAAUUCUACAGUUUGCAGUUGCAGUUCCUGCCCAAUGGUUUCUUUUGCUCAGUGGACCGUUAGUAAAAUGCGUGGGAAAAGUUGGAUGAAAAUGGGGAGAGAAGGAGUCCCCUCCACAACCUGGUGCUCAAGAGAUUCAGGGGGAGCACCCUCAAGGACCAAGUGCCCAAGAGACUCAGAGGGAGCACCCUCAAGAACUUCGUGGUCAAGAGACUCAGAGGGAGCAAUUCCACAACUUCAUGCUCAAGAGACUCAGAGGGAGCACUCUCAAGAACCUCAUGCUCAAGAGACUCAGAGGGAGCGCCCUCCAGGAUCUCGUGCUCAGGAGAUUCAGAGGGAGCACCC
This 504-nucleotide long non-coding RNA is filed under the name Mus musculus (house mouse). RNAcentral describes it as "predicted gene, 48436". The record is from RNAcentral. Lineage: Eukaryota; Metazoa; Chordata; Mammalia; Rodentia; Muridae.